GGGCCAUUAGCUCAGGUGGUUAGAGCGUACCCCUGAUAAGGGUGAGGUCCCUGGUUCAAGUCCAGGAUGGCCCAUU
Molecule: transfer RNA, 76 nt
Filed under: uncultured Synechococcus sp.
Lineage: Bacteria; Bacillati; Cyanobacteriota; Cyanophyceae; Synechococcales; Synechococcaceae
Description: tRNA-Ile
Rfam family: tRNA
About the family: Transfer RNA (tRNA) molecules are approximately 80 nucleotides in length.
Source: RNAcentral